CAAAACAAGCGAUGUGGAGGCAAACCCCUAAAAAUAGGUCUCAGUUCAGAUUGCAGGCUGCAACCCGCCUGCAUGAAGUCGGAAUUGCUAGUAAUCGCGGAUCAGCAUGCCGCGGUGAAUACGUUCCCGGGCCUUGUACACACCGCCCGUCACACCAUGGGAGCCGGUAAUACCCGAAGUCAGUAGUCCAACCUCGUGAGGACGCUGCCGAAGGUAGGAUUGGCGACUGGGGUGAAGUCGUAACAAGGUACC
Molecule: ribosomal RNA, 252 nt
Filed under: uncultured bacterium
Lineage: Bacteria
Description: partial 16S ribosomal RNA
Rfam family: Bacterial small subunit ribosomal RNA
Source: RNAcentral